RNAcentral lists this ribosomal RNA (524 nucleotides) under uncultured Diversisporaceae. RNAcentral describes it as "SSU rRNA". It matches the Rfam family "Eukaryotic small subunit ribosomal RNA", at positions 569 to 1092 of the family's 1831-position model. Lineage: Eukaryota; Fungi; Glomeromycota; Glomeromycetes; Diversisporales. The record is from RNAcentral.
AGCAGCCGCGGUAAUUCCAGCUCCAAUAGCGUAUAUUAAAGUUGUUGCAGUUAAAAAGCUCGUAGUUGAACUUCGGGGUCUACCCAUUGGUCAGGCUUAAUUGUCUGCACUGGUGAGAUGGAUCUCUACCUUCUGAGGAACUUUCAUGCCAUUUAUUUGGUGUGAUUGGAAAUCAGGACUGUUACUUUGAAAAAAUUAGAGUGUUUAAAGCAGACUAUCGUCUGAAUACAUUAGCAUGGAAUAAUGAAAUAGGACGGACUGAUUCUAUUUCGUUGGUUUCUAGGAUCACCGUAAUGAUUAAUAGGGAUAGUUGGGGGCAUUAGUAUUCAAUUGUCAGAGGUGAAAUUCUUGGAUUUAUUGAAGACUAACUACUGCGAAAGCAUUUGCCAAGGAUGUUUUCAUUAAUCAAGAACGAAAGUUAGGGGAUCGAAGACGAUCAGAUACCGUCGUAGUCUUAACCAUAAACUAUGCCGACUAGGGAUCGGACGAAGUUAAUUUUAUAAUGACGCGUUCGGCACCUUACG